This 95-nucleotide small nucleolar RNA is filed under the name Anopheles christyi. Its description in RNAcentral is "small nucleolar RNA snR60/Z15/Z230/Z193/J17". It matches the Rfam family "Small nucleolar RNA snR60/Z15/Z230/Z193/J17". Rfam says of the family: The members of this family belong to the C/D class of snoRNAs which contain the C (UGAUGA) and D (CUGA) box motifs. Lineage: Eukaryota; Metazoa; Arthropoda; Insecta; Diptera; Culicidae. The record is from RNAcentral.
AUUUGUUUCUUAUUGAUGACGCAUAGUUCAUUUGAUUCAACUAUGAGAACUAACCGAACUACGAAAUGGUCUUUCGCUCCUAUCUGAAAAUAUAA